CCUACGGGGGGCUGCAGUGGGGAAUAUUGGGCAAUGGGCGCAAGCCUGACCCAGCAACGCCGCGUGAAGGAAGAAGGCUUUCGGGUUGUAAACUUCUUUUCUCAGGGACGAAGCAAGUGACGGUACCUGAGGAAUAAGCCACGGCUAACUACGUGCCAGCAGCCGCGGUAAUACGUAGGUGGCAAGCGUUAUCCGGAUUUACUGGGUGUAAAGGGCGUGUAGGCGGGACUGCAAGUCAGAUGUGAAAACCCCGGGCUCAACCUGUGGCCUGAAUUUGAAACUGUAGUUCUUGAGUACUGGAGAGGCAGACGGAAUUCGUGGGUUAGCGGUGAAAUGCGUAGAUAUUAGGAGGAACACCGGUGGCGAAGGCGGUCUGCUGGACAGCAACUGACGCUGAGGCGCGAAAGCGUGGGGAGCAAACAGGAUUAGAUACCCGGGUAGUC
This 443-nucleotide ribosomal RNA is filed under the name uncultured bacterium. RNAcentral describes it as "partial 16S ribosomal RNA". It matches the Rfam family "Bacterial small subunit ribosomal RNA", at positions 338 to 795 of the family's 1533-position model. The record is from RNAcentral.